Non-coding RNA from Capsicum annuum, 119 nucleotides. Lineage: Eukaryota; Viridiplantae; Streptophyta; Magnoliopsida; Solanales; Solanaceae. The record is from Rfam.
GGAUGUGAUCAUACCAUCACUAACCCACCGGAUCCCAUUGGAACUCUGAAGUUAAGCGUGCUUGGGCGAGAGUAGAACUAGGAUGGGUAACCCCCUGGGAAGUCUUCGUGUUGCAUCCC